RNAcentral lists this long non-coding RNA (278 nucleotides) under Gallus gallus (chicken). Lineage: Eukaryota; Metazoa; Chordata; Aves; Galliformes; Phasianidae. The record is from RNAcentral.
CUCAGGACAUCAGCAACUCUCGUAGCGUUGUUCAAAUGCACUUCAAGGGAAUCCUUGAGGAGAAGCGAAGCGUGGACUUUCACAACCUUGGAAGGCUCCGCUUGAUUCUUUUCCACUUUGUCUUUAUCAGCAUGAAUCUUCCGCAGCAGAUUUUUUAACCUCUUGUCACAGAACUGAUACCUUUUACUAUUGCUCUCAUUAAGUUUUCUCACUUGAGCUACCAGAAAAGAGGAGACCGUCCAGAGCAAAUCCUGAUAAUGGAUCAUCAUCCGCACCAC